This is a long non-coding RNA of Patella vulgata (common limpet), 359 nucleotides long. RefSeq lists it as uncharacterized. The transcript has 3 exons. The record is from RefSeq and is a predicted model, not a curated record. Lineage: Eukaryota; Metazoa; Mollusca; Gastropoda; Patellidae.
GAGCUUUGCAACUUGAUGAAAAGAAGAGGAUGACAGCUGCCGAUCUUCAUUCGUUUCUUGUGAAGAUAGCUAUUCGGAUGACUUUGAAUCAUUAUCGGAAAUUGAAGACGAGGAUGAUUUAGAAGAGACGCUGACGGCAACAGCCAUCCAAAAUUUGAAUAUUCAGCAGUCAGAAACCACAACUACGUCAUCAAUUCAUGCGGACAACCCCUAGAAACCUUUGCAAGAGCUUCUGGAAAAAGACAACUAUAAGCAAUAUUUUCUCAAAGGCCAUUAGAUCCUUUUAUAAUAAAUAACCACUACGCAAUAUUAUUGGGAUAUUUUGGAUCCAAUUUUCCCAUUGUUACCAUGGACAUUCU